This is a long non-coding RNA of Beta vulgaris subsp. vulgaris (sugar beet), 1552 nucleotides long. RefSeq lists it as uncharacterized. The record is from RefSeq and is a predicted model, not a curated record. The transcript has 2 exons. NCBI's taxonomy places the organism in Eukaryota, Viridiplantae, Streptophyta, Magnoliopsida, Caryophyllales, Amaranthaceae.
GAACAGUCUUGUUCAAUGUAUCUUAAAGGACCUUGUGGGAUGUGUGGGAGUUAUUUUCUUGUUGCUAGGUAGAAAAUGUGAGAUGUCUUUGCUUUUCUUAUUUAUGAAGUUUUCAAAUAUUUAUGGUUGCUGACACUUCUCUGUUUUGCUAUGAAUUAUAAGAAACUCGGAUGCAAAAUAACUCAUAUACCUUUAAUUUUUAUGUGAUUCGACGAUUCAAUUACUGUAUGUUCUUGGUUUAAUAAUAACAAAUCAUAGGUUUGAUAUUGCUGAAAGUUUUGCUGAAGGAAGAUGUGUUUCAUGCUUGCAUUUGGCAGAGUCACAAAGUAUUAGAUGUCAUAUGCAGUAAAAUGUUUCACAACUAAGCAAAAAAUGUUUUGAGUGACUUAAUUCGAUUAUGAGGCUAUGAGAUUAGAAAAUUUAGGUAUAAAGUUACAUUGUUCCCGAGGUAUAUCGAGUAUUGUCCCUGCUCAUUUGGGGGAAAAUGGUGCAUAUGAGUUUCAGUUCAUCACAAACAACUAUAGAGAGAAUGGACAUGAGAGUGUAACAUCAUAAGAGACAAAGGACUUGGAACACUUUGAUUUUCUUCCUAAUAAUGCCCCGAACAACAGUGAUGUCUAGCAAUCGCUCACGCUGGUAUGUGCAAUUAGACACUCCCCCUCUUUUCUUCCAGAUCAGAAUAGUAAAGUCCACAGAUAUUUAAAUGUAGCCAGUGAGUUCUGAUCUUGAACACAGAUUUUGUGAUUGUGUGGUUGGCAUGAGAAAACAUAGGAAGUAGAAUUCCCCAAGAAUUGGAAAAUGGGUUAGUUGUUUGCUUAACAAAAAGAAGGGGAAAAUGGGGGAAGUGGAACUUUUUAGGAAUUUCUACUUCUCAUGAAAAUGAUGGAAGUUACUCACUUAGGGUCCCCUAGGCAAGUAGAAAUUCCCUUAGGAAUUCACCCCCCCCCCCCAUUGUCAACAAAAUAUUUUUAGCAAAAGGUUGUUUUCAAUGCGUUUCAACACAAUGCGUACAGCUGCAAAUAGACUUCUGUCUGAGAAUCAGAUUUCAGCUUCCAGUUCAGAUCAAAAGGAAAAUUGUGGGUGUCUUAAAGCUUUAUACUUGAAAAACUUAUCCAGGCUCGGGCUUUAAAAUGAUGCUCAUAAACGUGGUUCCCGGUUCUUGACGGGACCAUCUGGACGCUCUCGGCAUGACUCAAAUGAAGGGUAGGUUUGCAUAUAUGUAGGUUGUAGCAAAGAAUGCUGCAGGAAUCAGAUUGAUGUACCACAGCUGAAAAUGUCAGCCAAGACAAAGAUGAGAAUAGGUGGCUGGCGCGGUGGAGGGGUGGCUGAUGCGGCGGAGAUGUGGCUGAUGCACUGGUGAGGUUUCUGGUGGUGCGGUGGCUGGCCCGGUGGUGCAGUACCUCGGCAUUAGCAGUGGCUCAGACUAGUAUUAGAUUGAAGUUGUAUUAGAUUUUAGUUACAAUGUAAUUAUACUAUUAUAAUACUAAAUUUUGGUAUUAGACUGUAAUUAUAUAUUUAAUUUAAACAAAAUUCUCAUUUGUUUAAUUCUCAA